Paragonimus heterotremus is the source of this 72-nucleotide non-coding RNA. NCBI's taxonomy places the organism in Eukaryota, Metazoa, Platyhelminthes, Trematoda, Plagiorchiida, Troglotrematidae. The record is from the annotation of a GenBank genome assembly.
GGCUUUGUAGCUCACCUGGCUCGGUGUUGAAGCAUGGUGUUUCUGUCGCUGGUUCGAAUCCAGCCGAAGCCU